GACGAACGCUGGCGGCGUGCCUAAUACAUGCAAGUCGAGCGCUGAAGGCUGGUUUUUGUACCGACUGGUUGAGCAGCGAACGGGUGAGUAACGCGUGGGGAAUCUGCCUUGGAGCGGGAGACAACAUUUGGAAACGAAUGCUAACACCGCAUAAAAACUUUAAACACAAGGUUUAAGUUUGAAAGAGGCAAUUGCUUCACUCAAAGAGGAUUCCGCGUUUUAUUAGCUAGUUGGUGAGGUAAAGGCUCACCAAGGCGAUGAUACAGAGCCGACCUGAGCGGGUGGUCAGCCACCUUGGGAGGGAGACACGGCCCAAGCUGCCACGGGAAGCGGCAAGAGGGAAACUUCGGCCAUGGGCGGAAAUCUUACCACGACAAGCCGAGGGAGGGAAGAAGGUUUUCGGGUCGGAAAACUCUGUUGGUAGGGAAGAACGUGGGUGAGAGUGGAACGCUGAUCAAGUGACGGUAACUACCCAAAAAGCAACGGCUAACUACGUG
Molecule: ribosomal RNA, 497 nt
Filed under: uncultured bacterium
Lineage: Bacteria
Description: partial 16S ribosomal RNA
Rfam family: Bacterial small subunit ribosomal RNA
Source: RNAcentral